UACGUAGGUGGCAAGCGUUGUCCGGAAUUACUGGGUGUAAAGGGAGCGUAGGCGGGGGCGCAAGUCCGUUGUUAAAACUAUCGGCUCAACCGGUAGCUGCGGCGGAAACUGUGUCUCUUGAGUGGAGUAGAGGCAGGCGGAAUUCCCAGUGUAGCGGUGAAAUGCGUAGAUAUUGGGAGGAACACCAGUGGCGAAGGCGGCCUGCUGGGCUCUAACUGACGCUGAGGCUCGAAAGUGUGGGGAGCAAACAGGAUUAGAUACCCUGGUAGUCCACACUGUAAACGAUGAUCACUAGGUGUGGGGGGACUGACCCCUUCCGUGCCGGAGUAAACACAAUAAGUGAUCCACCUGGGGAGUACGGCCGCAAGGUUGAA
This 374-nucleotide ribosomal RNA is filed under the name uncultured bacterium. Its description in RNAcentral is "bacterial SSU rRNA". It matches the Rfam family "Bacterial small subunit ribosomal RNA", at positions 524 to 898 of the family's 1533-position model. The record is from RNAcentral.